UUUAAGGGUUUCCCAAGGGGAGUUCCAUGGGCGGAGAGUCCAAAGGCUGUUGAACUGCGCUGUACGGAUGCUGUUUUAUACACAUGUGGUGUUAGCAAUGCUAUCCCACCACACGCAACAGAGCAGGCUGUCUUUCAUCUGCCUUUCCAAGCCAUCACAGCAUUCUAUUUCUGCUUUUAGCCAAGGAAAAGACUGGAAUAGUUUUUCCCAGGAGCAGCCGGUGGGCCUGGAAGCUGGGCUAUGGAUCUAAACCUAAAGCUUCAUUUGGUGCAGAAGUCCAACCAAAAGGAAAGUGGCAUUAGAAGAAAUUUGUCCUGCUACUAUCGUUGCUGUCUCCUUUUCCUCCCAGAUGCCUUGGGAGACAUCACUUGAGAAGAGAAGGCAUGAAGCAAAACCUGGCUUGUAAGACAUUAGCACGUAUUCACUCCAGAAGAGAAACUACAAUGACAAUUAGAUUUGGCCAUUGACAAUGGAGCAGCUAAUCACCGAAGCUAAAAUAAGAUUACCCGAAAUAAAAGUCUGUUGCCUGGCUGCA
Harpia harpyja (harpy eagle) is the source of this 535-nucleotide long non-coding RNA. RefSeq lists it as uncharacterized. The transcript has 2 exons. Lineage: Eukaryota; Metazoa; Chordata; Aves; Accipitriformes; Accipitridae. The record is from RefSeq and is a predicted model, not a curated record.